This 86-nucleotide transfer RNA is filed under the name Flavobacteriales bacterium. RNAcentral describes it as "tRNA-Leu". It matches the Rfam family "tRNA". From Rfam's summary of the family: Transfer RNA (tRNA) molecules are approximately 80 nucleotides in length. The record is from RNAcentral. Lineage: Bacteria; Pseudomonadati; Bacteroidota; Flavobacteriia; Flavobacteriales.
GCCCAGGUGGUGGAAUUGGUAGACACGCNGGACUUAAAAUCCNGUGGGCAGUAAUGUCCGUGCGGGUUCAAGUCCCGCCCUGGGUA